Molecule: non-coding RNA, 46 nt
Filed under: Trichobilharzia regenti
Lineage: Eukaryota; Metazoa; Platyhelminthes; Trematoda; Strigeidida; Schistosomatidae
Source: RNAcentral
AUACUGAUGAAGAGUCCCAAACUAGGACGAAACGGUUUUCCAGUAC